CAGGACAUGUCACAGGCAACUGUGGACAACAGGCCAUGUGCAUGCAGGCUGAGGGGACAGAUGCUGUAGGAGUUCAGAUGUGCAGGAGGCCAUCGUGGCCAGACGUGGUCAGGGAUGGCUUCACGGGCUGAUUACGGCACCAGCCAGAUGAUUUACGUGACUGCAUCAGACAGCUAAAUCGCGGUCGCUGGCCUCUCUAACACGUGGGGAGCUCGGCUAAUCUUACCAUUAGUGGGUUGCAGGGCCUCAGCAGCAGCGGCCUGCCACAGAGGGCUGACUCUGCCUGUCUCCAGCUCAGCAGAUUCAGUCACUCAUUAAUUCAGCAAAUAUUUAUUGACUCUCUGGGGUGUGCCUGGUGCUGUGGCCAUGAACAAGACAUCCAGAAGCCCAAGGAGACGAAGAAACGCUCUGACUUGGGACCCAGGAGCCCUGCCUCUGCCGGCUACUCUCUAAGUAACUUUGGACGUGUAUUCAACCUUCCCUGGGCUGCAGUCUCCCCAUCAGUGGAGUCAGCACCUUGACCUUGAAGAUCACCAAGGUCCCUUCAGAACCCCCAGAAGAAAGACGAUUCUGGCACACCAGGCACUCCUAAAAUUUCAAUCCUCACUUCAAGUUUAUUUUCUGUCUUUUGCCUUUACUGCUGGCUGGGUUACUCUUGCCGUAAUUUAUUUAACUGAGCUGUGCUAAGCAGUUUGGAACUGAGUUUGCAUGAAUCACUGUCCAUAAAAUCAAGUUAAGUGGAUUUCAUUCCACACGGAACACCUGUGUAUAUACUCAGGGAGAAGAAGCUGUGUUUUCUUGGCCCUUCCAGACCCCUGUUAGAACUGCUUCCUUACAGAGAUAGGACUCACCCUGUAUUUAUAGUCCAUUGUUAUGACAGCCUCCUUCAGAGAACUGAAGGUAAAGUGCUGGAUGCAAUUUUUACUUCAGAUCAUUUUACAUAGCUUCCCUGUUUCUCUCUCUAGCUGGAAAAGCUGACAUUGAUUUCUUCUAUUGUAUCAGAGUUGGCAAAUAUCAGAUUCAACUUCAUUCAGUCCUUCAGCAAAUAUUUAUUGAAUGUUAUGUGAAGUCACAGGGAGCUAGGUAUAGGGGUGGGGGUUAA
Molecule: long non-coding RNA, 1102 nt
Organism: Diceros bicornis minor
Lineage: Eukaryota; Metazoa; Chordata; Mammalia; Perissodactyla; Rhinocerotidae
Exons: 3
Source: RefSeq, a predicted model, not a curated record